GUCUUAAAGUAGUCGCGAAGAGUAGGUAGAAAAUGUCGAAAAUAUGAAAAUAAUUGGGAAAAAUGUCAAAAAAUGCGCCAAUUUUCAAAUUUGGGACGAAAAAAGCAUGAACUUUCGAAAUGUCAUUUAAAUCUUAAAGUUUGGGUUGACUUCUUAAAAAAAUGUCUAAGUUUUGUUGACCUGGCCAUUUAAAGCGUGCCGUGAAAUUUCCGUUAACGGAAAAAUAACGGAGUUAAUUUUCCGUUAACAGCUCAAAAUGACGUCGUUUUAAAAAUUAAAAAUAAAUAAAAAACUGACAACAGCCUAGACUAGAACCUUAGAUCACUGGAUCUGUAGUCAAGCAUUAAACCGUUGAGCUACUCACGCUUUUGGUGUUUACUUAAGCUAAUAGAU
This 393-nucleotide small RNA is filed under the name Arabidopsis thaliana (thale cress). RNAcentral describes it as "ATSL156000". The record is from RNAcentral. Lineage: Eukaryota; Viridiplantae; Streptophyta; Magnoliopsida; Brassicales; Brassicaceae.